GAUGAACGCUAGCUACAGGCUUAACACAUGCAAGUCGAGGGACCGGCGCACGGGUGAGUAACACGUAUCCAACCUGCCCUUUACUCGGGGAUAGCCUUUCGAAAGAAAGAUUAAUACCCGAUGUAAAGGAUGGGGAUGCGUUCCAUUAGGUUGUUGGUGAGGUAACGGCUCACCAAGCCUUCGAUGGAUAGGGGUUCUGAGAGGAAGGUCCCCCACAUUGGAGUGGAGACUCGGUCAAAACUCCUACGGGAGGCAGCAGUGAGGAAUAUUGGUCAAUGGGCGUUAGCCUGAACCAGCCAAUGAGCGUGAAGGAUGAAGUCUUAGGGGUCGUAAACUUCUUUUAUAUAAGAAUAGGUAUUAUAUGAAUAAGGAUCGGCUAACUCCGUGCCAGCAGCCGCGGUAAUAC
This 406-nucleotide ribosomal RNA is filed under the name uncultured bacterium. RNAcentral's name for it is "partial 16S ribosomal RNA". It matches the Rfam family "Bacterial small subunit ribosomal RNA", at positions 28 to 526 of the family's 1533-position model. The record is from RNAcentral.